This is a long non-coding RNA of Amphiprion ocellaris (clown anemonefish), 539 nucleotides long. RefSeq lists it as uncharacterized. The transcript is spliced from 3 exons. The record is from RefSeq and is a predicted model, not a curated record. NCBI's taxonomy places the organism in Eukaryota, Metazoa, Chordata, Actinopteri, Pomacentridae.
GUUCAGCUGCAUUGCAAAUAACAAUCUUAUACCUUUUUUGACAGGCAACAGAGGAGCCAGAGUGAAGAGGCGUCCAUGUGGAGGAAAUUGAAAGUACCAACGAUCUCUUUUAUAUAGAGAAGAACCUAAAUUAAGAUUCUCAGUGUAAGCAGAAGAUAUUGUCAACGCUAGACAGCACUAAAGGAGAAGAGGGAGCGAAUGGCCAAGAAAGACAAGUUGGAGUAAAGACUUUCAUUGAUUGGAGCAGGACAGAUGUGAUGAAACAGCUUCAGACACUGGAGCACAGCACCCAUCCUUCAUACCACCUUGUGGAGUCCAAACCAGGGAGGGAGAUGCAGCACAGUGAGGAGAGCUCAUCCUGCAGCAUUAACAAAGGCGUGUUGGUGAUUUAGUGGCUGUGCAACAACUACUGCUGCUGCUGCUUGGAUUUACGCCAAACGAAGGUUCGAUUGGCCCAAGAAGACUAAGUGCCCCUCUGACCUGCACAGGCAGAAAGAUGGCAGGUGGAGGGUGAAAGAAGAUAAAAAGUGGAAGCACAA